GUUUAAUUAGUUUACUUUAAAAUUAUAAAUUGUGGAUUUAUAGAUGAUUUUUAUCAUUAAACA
Molecule: transfer RNA, 63 nt
Filed under: Amblyomma marmoreum
Lineage: Eukaryota; Metazoa; Arthropoda; Arachnida; Ixodida; Ixodidae
Description: tRNA-His
Source: RNAcentral